RNAcentral lists this ribosomal RNA (484 nucleotides) under uncultured bacterium. RNAcentral describes it as "partial 16S ribosomal RNA". It matches the Rfam family "Bacterial small subunit ribosomal RNA", at positions 30 to 507 of the family's 1533-position model. The record is from RNAcentral.
AUUGAACGCUGGCGGCAGGCCUAACGCAUGCAAGUCGAGCGGAUGAGGGGAGCUUGCUCCCUGAUUUAGCGGCGGACGGGUGAGUAAUGCCUAGGAAUCUGCCUGGUAGUGGGGGAUAACGUUCCGAAAGGAACGCUAAUACCGCAUACGUCCUACGGGAGAAAGCAGGGGACCUUCGGGCCUUGCGCUAUCAGAUGAGCCUAGGUCGGAUUAGCUAGUUGGUGAGGUAAUGGCUCACCAAGGCGACGAUCCGUAACUGGUCUGAGAGGAUGAUCAGUCACACUGGAACUGAGACACGGUCCAGACUCCUACGGGAGGCAGCAGUGGGGAAUAUUGGACAAUGGGCGAAAGCCUGAUCCAGCCAUGCCGCGUGUGUGAAGAAGGUCUUCGGAUUGUAAAGCACUUUAAGUUGGGAGGAAGGGCUGCUGGUUAAUACCCUGCAGUUUUGACGUUACCAACAGAAUAAGCACCGGCUAACUUCGUG